RNAcentral lists this ribosomal RNA (484 nucleotides) under uncultured bacterium. Its description in RNAcentral is "bacterial SSU rRNA". It matches the Rfam family "Bacterial small subunit ribosomal RNA", at positions 28 to 508 of the family's 1533-position model. The record is from RNAcentral.
GAUGAACGCUAGCGGCAGGCUUAAUACAUGCAAGACGAACGGUAACUGUUGUAGCAAUACAAUAGCUAGAGUGUCGUACGGGUGCGUAACACGUAUGCAACCUACCUUGUACAGGAGGAUAGCUCGGGGAAACUCGAAUUAACCCUCCAUAAUAUAAUUAGAAGGCAUCUUUUGAUUAUUAAAACUGAGGUGGUACAAGAUGGGCAUGCGACUGAUUAGUUAGUUGGCAGUGUAACGGACUACCAAGACGAUGAUCAGUAGGGGACCUGAGAGGGUGAUCCCCCACACUGGCACUGAGAUACGGGCCAGACUCCUACGGGAGGCAGCAGUAGGGAAUAUUGGUCAAUGGGUGAGAGCCUGAACCAGCCAUGCCGCGUGCAGGAAGAAGGCGUUAUGCGUUGUAAACUGCUUUUGCCAGGGGAUAAAAUGACCGUGCGCGGUUAAUUGAAGGUACCUGGUGAAUAAGCCACGGCUAACUACGUGC